UCCAGCUGUGUGAACAGUUUUUUUGUGUUAAGGACCUAAGAUGAGGCCAGAGAUGCCAUUGGACAGCAGCAGAAUUAUGCUGGUCAUCACACUGAAGUGGAAAUCAGCAGCUUUGCAUGGCAAGAAAUGGUUCCUGGGCCAGAAUUCUGGCUGAUGGCUGUGCUGGGAUCUUUUACUCAGAAAUGACAAUCCCACAGAAACAAAGAGCCCCACACUAGUACAAGAGCCUCACAGAAAACCACACUAACACUGAAAGCAAUAAGGCCUAGUAAGGAGAUCAGCAGUUGGAUCUGCAUAGCAGUUCUCCUAUGGAGUCCAGAUAUCACCCACAUUCUGAGCCAGACCUGCUUCUAGAGAACCAAGUGCAAAGUCUGGGAAUCAGCAUUAAUUAUGGAUUAUUGAGAAGAAGGUUCUUAAUUAGGCCUUUCUGGGCUACCAGGCUUAGCUCUGCUAAAUUCUCUCUGCUGGAGCUCUCACUCCCUUGCCACCAAUGAACCAGAAAGCAAGGCAUGACAGACCUUGAAGCUUCCCUGCUCUCAGGCAUGAAGAGCUGAAAAUCCAUCCUCCAAGGAAUCUCUCACUCUUGUCUCUGCAGCAGGAGAUCUCCGGGCUCCCAGAAUUCAUGCCAUGACCCUAUAGAAAAGCUCUAACCUACAUCAUAGGACAGCCCAGAGUUAAAACCAUUGGCUGUUCUUUUGUCCCCACCAGGUACAGUAUCAGAAAUCCUUUUGACUGAAAAACAAAAUAGAGUUUCC
This 755-nucleotide long non-coding RNA is filed under the name Phasianus colchicus (ring-necked pheasant). Its description in RNAcentral is "lncRNA (ENSPCLG00000002897.1)". The record is from RNAcentral. Lineage: Eukaryota; Metazoa; Chordata; Aves; Galliformes; Phasianidae.